GACGGAGUGCUUGGUGGUGCGUGCCGUGGAGCCUCGUGUGAAGCAAAUGCUGCUUGCAUUAACGGCAUAUGUGUCUGUGCAACCGGAUAUAGCGCUCACAACGGCAUGUGCAAUAGAGAUGGGUUAGCUGGCGGCGCAUGUGUAAGAAACGUAUGUACCCUCGACCCUUAUGCUGUGUGUCUACAAGAUAGGUGUGUGUGUCGAUGUAUGUUCUAUCCACUAUUUGGUCUCUGUCCUCGACCAAGACCAGGGCGUGCCCCCCGUCGCCCACUUAAAAUCGGAAAAUAAUCGUCGAUUAGUGCG
This is a long non-coding RNA of Dreissena polymorpha, 303 nucleotides long. RefSeq lists it as uncharacterized. The record is from RefSeq and is a predicted model, not a curated record. NCBI's taxonomy places the organism in Eukaryota, Metazoa, Mollusca, Bivalvia, Myida, Dreissenidae. The transcript has 3 exons.